GUCCACACCCCGGGUGACGCAUAUCCCGGGUGACGCUACACAGUGACGCACAAUCAGCUCAGCUCUGGAGGACUUUCCUGCCACGAAAACUCCUCCUGACAUGAAAACUCACAAGCUGCUGGCUCUCCCCCCAUCCUAACCAUCAGGAAGCCAGAAAAAUCUCUGAUAAGAGAACGGGUCCCUCUGAUCUCCAGAGACAUCAAUGUGAUCAUCAGAGGCUUGGAUAAUAACAUUCCCCUCAGUCUUCAUGCAAGGAGACUGCAUGUGACAAGUAGCUCUGAGGGAAGACAGCUGCCAUGGCAUUGGACACUCAAGAAGCCCCGUGGAGAGGUCGAUGUGAUAAAGAGCUGAGACAUCCCACCAGCAGGCAGUACCGAUUUGCCAGAUAUGUAGGGGAGCCACGUUGGAGACCCUCCGCUCCAACCAAGACUCCAGAUGACAAUAGGGCUUUGGUCGACAUCUUGACUGCAACCUCAUGAAAGAUCUGAGCCAGAACUGCCCAGCUAAGCUGCCCUUGGAUUCCUCCUCCACAGCAACUAUGCAGCCAACUCACCUCUCAGGGUGGUGCCUGCCCUGCCACUUAGCAAGAAGGCAGGGGGCACCCAAAGGUCUGAGGAGAAAGAGUCAUCGGUCACUGGGGAGAGAAAUCGUGAAACUUACACCAAGAGUCAGGCUGAUGAGGAAUACAUGGAGACACAUGUGGCAUGAAUAAAAAAGAAGACGAGGAAGAGGAAUUAAAGGAAGAAAUCAUUGAACCCAUCAUGCCUGCUUUGAUGGAGCAGGAUCAGACUACGGAAAGGAGUUGAAUGGAAUGAAAGUGAUCACAUGACAGAGCCCGGACAAGGGUAAGCAUGCUCCAGAAGAGAAGAGCCCUCAGCCGUGUGAGGAGAAGCCCUUUCAGUAAGAGAAGAAGAUUCCACACGAUCUGGCAGAGGGAGGAAGGGAGGCAGGAGCCGGGGAGAGGCACCUGCAGCUUGGCAGGAAGAGACUGUUCUCCAAUGUUCCUGUUCAGAAAGUAAAUGUAUUUGA
Molecule: long non-coding RNA, 1029 nt
Organism: Felis catus (domestic cat)
Lineage: Eukaryota; Metazoa; Chordata; Mammalia; Carnivora; Felidae
Exons: 5
Source: RefSeq, a predicted model, not a curated record